This 402-nucleotide ribosomal RNA is filed under the name uncultured bacterium. RNAcentral's name for it is "bacterial SSU rRNA". It matches the Rfam family "Bacterial small subunit ribosomal RNA", at positions 355 to 774 of the family's 1533-position model. The record is from RNAcentral.
UGGGGGAUCUUGGACAAUGGGCGCAAGCCUGAUCCAGCCAUGCCGCGUGAGUGAAGAAGGCCUUAGGGUUGUAAAGCUCUUUUGGCAGGGACGAUAAUGACGGUACCUGCAGAAUAAGCCCCGGCAAACUUCGUGCCAGCAGCCGCGGUAAUACGAAGGGGGCUAGCGUUGUUCGGAUUUACUGGGCGUAAAGCGCACGUAGGCGGAUUGUUAAGUCAGGGGUGAAGUCCCGGAGCUCAACUCCGGAACUGCCUUUGAUACUGGCAAUCUUGAGGCUGGAAGAGGUUGGUAGAAUUCCCAGUGUAGAGGUGAAAUUCGUAGAUAUUGGGAAGAAUACCAGUGGCGAAGGCGGCCAACUGGUCCAGAUCUGACGCUGAGGUGCGAAAGCGUGGGGAGCAAACA